This is a long non-coding RNA of Myotis brandtii (Brandt's bat), 3490 nucleotides long. RefSeq lists it as uncharacterized. The transcript has 2 exons. NCBI's taxonomy places the organism in Eukaryota, Metazoa, Chordata, Mammalia, Chiroptera, Vespertilionidae. The record is from RefSeq and is a predicted model, not a curated record.
GGUGGGGGCUGUCCAGCGGGUCUUUCACUGUCUCCCAGCCACAGCCUGGCCUCGGCUGGGGAGCCCGAGGCGCAGCCAACGACUGAGUCUCAAACAAAACACCGCGUGAAAAUACCGCAGGCAGGUAACCGGGUACCGGCUCCAACUGAGAAACCAGCUUCAGGUCCUGCCAAACGUCACGUCCUCUUCUCGCGCCAAAGAGGACGCGCGAAAACAGCAUCACUUCCGGCCAUGCGCACUUGCCUUCUAGCCCCUCUAGCUUCUACUCCCUAGAAAUCUCCGCGCUCUCUUCCUAGUCAAAACCUGUUCUCUCGGUGCCAGCUUUGUGAUCCGCACACCCUCCUGAAUCGUGCUUCCUAGAGAGGCUUCCGCCAGUUCUCGCUCCCUGAAUCUAUUUCCCAUCAUGCUAUGUCGCACAUGCUCUUCAGGUCCACCGAAUCCAACGCCUGGAGCCUCCGAGACAGGAAUCGACUUGGCGCUAAUGAUCAUGGGAGUUGUAGUUUUAGCGCAGACAACAAAUCACUGGUUCUCGGCUCCUGAUUUUUCAGUUGGUCACGUUCCCAGAGCAGCAGGUGAAGAGGGUUUUCUCCUUCCCGGACCUUCAAUUCAGGCCCAGCUCGACACCUUCACAUUCCUCUUGAGCCUCUCAGUGUGAACAGGGCUGCCACCGGUUGGUGGCCUGGAAUUCCCAAAGUAUAAAAUCAAUCUGCAGGAGGGAACCUCUUCAGUAAUUUCAGGGGCAGAAACACACUUUGAUAGUGUUUGAUCAGCACUGUUGCAAAAGGAGAUUCCUGAACUUUCUGUCCGUUGGAGGAUUCCCUGCUGCGUCAGGGGAUAUUUCAAUGGACCUCCUCAGAACAUUGAUGAAAAUUCUUCACCACCCAAGCAAUUUUCCGAUAACCCAAUUCAAUUUUAGAGGCAUUUUGACAAUAAGACGGGAAUGCGUUACCUGGGAAGCGGAAAUGAGUGUAGGGAUCCUAAGGCCUCUUCUCACGUUGUACGGUCUCGGCCCCUUUCAGUCACAGCUGGUAGCGUUUUUGCCAAUAUAACCCUCUUAACUUAGUCCUGUAUGAAUCUUACUGGAUUAACUCCAUUAGGCAAGUCACGCUCACAGAUCCCUUUGAGAUAAGCCCAUUUCCACUUUUGGCUUCUGAAAUUUGGGGCUUACGAUUUUGGAGGUCAGAAGUCGGAGAUGGAUAUCACUGGGGUAAAAUCAAGGUGUUGGCAGGGUUACAUGCCUUCCAGAGGCCCUAGGGGAGAAUCUGUUUUCUUGCCUCUUCCAGCUUCCAGGGCUGCCGACAUUCCUUGAUUUUUGACUCCUUCCAGUUGGUGCGGUUCUGCCUGCAGCCACAGGCCCAACAGGUGCUAACCCCACACUGGCCACUAGGUGGUAGCAGAGGGUUUCUUACCCAUGGCCCCUGGGAGGAAGCAGAGUGCUUCAGGCUUCAAUCGAUGCAAUUCCGCAUGUGGCCACUGGGCGGCUUAGGACCCAGAAGCCUUGUCUUAGGUUCCCAGAAGCCAGCAUUCUUCUGGAAGAGUUGGGGUGAGGGGAUGGGGAGCGGGAUGAGAUGGAGAUGGAGUGACUCUUGGUAGGCAGUGCAGAUUUCUACGGUUAUCCAGUACAGAGACCUGUCUUACGUGGGCUGGGUAGAGCACAGCUUCUGCUGGACCUGUCCUGUGGCAAUGCUUUAUCCUGCUCCUCUUCCCUAUGUGCCGGGCCGGGCUGGGCCGGGCUGGGCUGAUACUGGACUGCCAGCUGGGGCUGGUUCUUCCCAUCUUGUGCCCCGAUGGGAAGGCCCCAAGGCAGUCUCAGGGGACCUCUGAAGAGCACGUGUGUCCACCGUCCUUGGUACCUAUAACUGGGUACUGGUAGCAAUCAGAGGUGGUAUGGGUAGGAGUUGCUGAGGGAGCUGGGUAGGAAAUAAAAUAUAAAGAGAAACAUGUGGAAAUAUUUCACGUCUCUUUCAGAGGCACACCUUGGACAUCACACCAGCUUUGCUCCACCACAGCCUCAUCACCACCACCAGCUAACAGCAACAAACACUUAUUCUAUGACAUCCUCAGUUCUAAGUGCUUGACAUAAUUAUUUCCUUUCAUCCUCACAACAAUCCUAUGAGGGAGACAGCAUCAUUAUGCCCAUUUUACAGAUGAAUAAACUGAGACCUGGAGAGGUUGUGACUUGGCCAGGUCACAUAGUGAGUAGUGCAACUAGAACUGGAACCAAGUCCACUGGCUCUCACCAUGCUGCCAUGGCUCCUGGCCCCUGGAUUAAAGAGGAAAGAGACCACAGUAGGACUGAAGCCACAGGAGGUUUUCUUGCCCACAAGUUUAAUCAUCUCCCUUGCAGCCUGGGGGAGGGAGGUGUGUGAGCCAUCCCCUGCCUUCCCUCUGGUCCUUUGCCAAUCCCCAUGUGCAGAGGCUGGGGAUGGCCAAGCAGGAGCUGGAAGCAGCCUCUGCUUGAAGUUCAACGUGAAGAAGUUUCCAGUGCAAAGACCUGUCUUCUGUGAGGUGGCUGAGAGUGGGUGGCCUGUUAGAUUGAGUUGUCUUUGGUGCUGACUCACUGAGAACAGAUUCUGAGACGGCAGGGAGUAGGCCCCUGUCAGACACAGCCUGCGUAUAACCUUCUGGGGUGCAGGACAAACAAUAGCUUGAAGCAACCUCAGGAGAGCUGCAGGAGAACUGGCCACGUGUGCAACAAGCGGACAGAAAAUCGGUCAGGAUGCCGCAGACCCGAUCCACGCUAAACAAGCUGGCAUUUGCAGGACACUCGCUGACAUGACAGUGCGGUUCUCGGCCCAGCCAGUGGCCACAUGCAGCACUAACAACAGUGUAGAUGUGCAGUUGUCCACACAGAAGAUGAGCCUACACUUGGACAUGACCUUGCUUCUGGAAGGCCCCAGGAAUUUGGACUUUGCUAAAGCUGAGAGCUUUCCCGCGUGUUACUUGGCCCAUUUUACUACAAUCAGAGAGCUGCUGUAGGAUCUUCCAGAAACCAACCCUGGGGUCCCGUCCUGUUCUCCCCACCGCUCUGCCCUGAACCAAUGCCCAGCUCUCCAGGCUCGUUAUAGCUUAAUAGAUGGUGCCAAGGUGGGUGCACACAGGGGCUGCACACCAGGGAAGUGAGUACAGCAGAUUAUGGGAUGGGAAGUAAACCCACAAAGGUUCUCAGAGGCCGGUUUAUGGGACAGGAAACUGCCCUCCUCAACUGCAGCUCACAGAGAGGCCGGGACCUGACUUUGAGUCAAGUCUUUAUUUGGCAACAAAUGCAUUCCUGUGAGGAGACCAUGGGCCACCACCCAGCCUCCAAAAGCACCUCCUCCAGAAAGUGAGGAACCAAGAGUCCCCUCCUCCACGGUCGCUUCGUAUCACGACAGGGAGGGCACACGGAGGCCUGCCACAGGGCACUGAAGACCCUCCGAGAUGUCCCCUCCUCCUCAGUCUCAGAGCAACGGUGGGAGCUGGACCCAGGGACUGGGAACCUCAUGCCCGU